GGGUGAGUAAUGCAUAGGAAUCUGCCUAGUAGUAUAGGAUAGCCACUAGAAAUGGUGGGUAAUACUGUAUAAUCCCUGCGGGGGAAAGAUUUAUCGCUACUAGAUGAGCCUAUGUCAGAUUAGCUAGUUGGUGGGGUAAUGGCCCACCAAGGCGGUGAUCUGUAGCUGGUCUGAGAGGAUGAUCAGCCACACUGGAACUGAGACACGGUCCAGACUCCUACGGGAGGCAGCAGUGGGGAAUAUUGGACAAUGGGCGCAAGCCUGAUCCAGCUAUGCCGCGUGAGUGAGGAAGGCCUUAGGGUUGUAAAACUCUUUCAGUAGGGAAGAUAAUGACGGUACCUACAGAAGAAGUCCCGGCAAACUCCGUGCCAGCAGCCGCGGUAAUAC
Molecule: ribosomal RNA, 387 nt
Filed under: uncultured Anaplasma sp.
Lineage: Bacteria; Pseudomonadati; Pseudomonadota; Alphaproteobacteria; Rickettsiales; Anaplasmataceae
Description: bacterial SSU rRNA
Rfam family: Bacterial small subunit ribosomal RNA
Source: RNAcentral